This 76-nucleotide transfer RNA is filed under the name Rhodospirillaceae bacterium. Its description in RNAcentral is "tRNA-Glu". It matches the Rfam family "tRNA". Rfam says of the family: Transfer RNA (tRNA) molecules are approximately 80 nucleotides in length. Their secondary structure includes four short double-helical elements and three loops (D, anti-codon, and T loops). The record is from RNAcentral. Lineage: Bacteria; Pseudomonadati; Pseudomonadota; Alphaproteobacteria; Rhodospirillales; Rhodospirillaceae.
GUCCCCUUCGUCUAGCGGUCCAGGACAUCGCCCUCUCACGGCGAAAACAGGGGUUCGAUUCCCCUAGGGGAUACCA